CAGUAGCCGCGGUAAUACGGAGGGUGCAAGCGUUAAUCGGAAUUACUGGGCGUAAAGCGCACGCAGGCGGUUUGUUAAGUCAGAUGUGAAAUCCCCGAGCUUAACUUGGGAACUGCAUUUGAAACUGGCAAGCUAGAGUCUUGUAGAGGGGGGUAGAAUUCCAGGUGUAGCGGUGAAAUGCGUAGAGAUCUGGAGGAAUACCGGUGGCGAAGGCGGCCCCCUGGACAAAGACUGACGCUCAGGUGCGAAAGCGUGGGGAGCAAACAGGAUUAGAGACCCGCGUAGUCCCUGUCUCUUAUAC
Molecule: ribosomal RNA, 301 nt
Filed under: uncultured bacterium
Lineage: Bacteria
Description: partial 16S ribosomal RNA
Rfam family: Bacterial small subunit ribosomal RNA
Source: RNAcentral